Molecule: ribosomal RNA, 429 nt
Filed under: Chloroflexota bacterium
Lineage: Bacteria; Bacillati; Chloroflexota
Description: Chloroflexi bacterium partial 16S ribosomal RNA
Rfam family: Bacterial small subunit ribosomal RNA
Source: RNAcentral
UGGGGAAUAUUGCACAAUGGGCGCAAGCCUGAUGCAGCCAUGCCGCGUGUGUGAAGAAGGCCUUCGGGUUGUAAAGCACUUUCAGCGGGGAGGAAGGCGAUAAGGUUAAUAACCUUGUCGAUUGACGUUACCCGCAGAAGAAGCACCGGCUAACUCCGUGCCAGCAGCCGCGGUAAUACGGAGGGUGCAAGCGUUAAUCGGAAUUACUGGGCGUAAAGCGCACGCAGGCGGUUUGUUAAGUCGGAUGUGAAAUCCCCGGGCUCAACCUGGGAACUGCAUCUGAUACUGGCAAGCUUGAGUCUCGUAGAGGGGGGUAGAAUUCCAGGUGUAGCGGUGAAAUGCGUAGAGAUCUGGAGGAAUACCGGUGGCGAAGGCGGCCCCCUGGACGAAGACUGACGCUCAGGUGCGAAAGCGUGGGGAGCAAACAGG